RNAcentral lists this transfer RNA (79 nucleotides) under Bacillus sp. UFRGS-B20. RNAcentral's name for it is "tRNA-Met". It matches the Rfam family "tRNA". From Rfam's summary of the family: Transfer RNA (tRNA) molecules are approximately 80 nucleotides in length. Their secondary structure includes four short double-helical elements and three loops (D, anti-codon, and T loops). The record is from RNAcentral. Lineage: Bacteria; Bacillati; Bacillota; Bacilli; Caryophanales; Bacillaceae.
CGCGGGGUGGAGCAGCACGGUAGCUUCGUCGGGCUCAUAACCCGAAGGGUCGCAGGUUCAAAUCCUGUCCCCGCAACCA